This 433-nucleotide ribosomal RNA is filed under the name uncultured bacterium. RNAcentral describes it as "partial 16S ribosomal RNA". It matches the Rfam family "Bacterial small subunit ribosomal RNA", at positions 29 to 507 of the family's 1533-position model. The record is from RNAcentral.
AACGAACGCUGGCGGCAGGCUUAACACAUGCAAGUCGAGCGAGACCUUCGGGUCUAGCGGCGGACGGGUGAGUAACGCGUGGGAACGUGCCCUUCUCUACGGAAUAGCCCCGGGAAACUGGGAGUAAUACCGUAUACGCCCUUUGGGGGAAGGAUUUAUCGGAGAAGGAUCGGCCCGCGUUGGAUUAGGUAGUUGGUGGGGUAAUGGCCCACCAAGCCGACGAUCCAUAGCUGGUUUGAGAGGAUGAUCAGCCACACUGGGACUGAGACACGGCCCAGACUCCUACGGGAGGCAGCAGUGGGGAAUCUUAGACAAUGGGGGCAACCCUGAUCUAGCCAUGCCGCGUGAGUGAUGAAGGCCUUAGGGUUGUAAAGCUCUUUCAGCUGGGAAGAUAAUGACGGUACCAGCAGAAGAAGCCCCGGCUAACUCCGUG